RNAcentral lists this ribosomal RNA (253 nucleotides) under uncultured bacterium. RNAcentral's name for it is "partial 16S ribosomal RNA". It matches the Rfam family "Bacterial small subunit ribosomal RNA", at positions 524 to 776 of the family's 1533-position model. The record is from RNAcentral.
UACGAAGGGGGCUAGCGUUGCUCGGAAUCACUGGGCGUAAAGGGUGCGUAGGCGGGUCUUUAAGUCAGGGGUGAAAUCCUGGAGCUCAACUCCAGAACUGCCUUUGAUACUGAGGAUCUUGAGUUCGGGAGAGGUGAGUGGAACUGCGAGUGUAGAGGUGAAAUUCGUAGAUAUUCGCAAGAACACCAGUGGCGAAGGCGGCUAACUGGUCCAGAUCUGACGCUGAGGUGCGAAAGCGUGGGGAGCAAACAGG